Molecule: ribosomal RNA, 231 nt
Filed under: uncultured bacterium
Lineage: Bacteria
Description: partial 16S ribosomal RNA
Rfam family: Bacterial small subunit ribosomal RNA
Source: RNAcentral
GCAAGUCGAACGAGAUGCAUCCUUCGGGGUGUUAUCUAGUGGCGGACGGGUGCGUAACACGUGGGAAUCUACCUUAUAGUGGGGGAUAACUUCUGGAAACGGGAGCUAAUACCGCAUACGCCCUUCGGGGGAAAGAUUUAUCGCUAUAAGAUGAGCCCGCGGUGGAUUAGAUAGUUGGUGAGGUAAAAGCUCACCAAGUCUACGAUCUAUAGCUGGUCUGAGAGGGUGACC